RNAcentral lists this non-coding RNA (80 nucleotides) under Drosophila virilis. RNAcentral describes it as "Eukaryotic large subunit ribosomal RNA". It matches the Rfam family "Eukaryotic large subunit ribosomal RNA", at positions 24 to 103 of the family's 3401-position model. The record is from Rfam by way of RNAcentral. Lineage: Eukaryota; Metazoa; Arthropoda; Insecta; Diptera; Drosophilidae.
CCCCCUCAAUUUAAGCAUAUUAAUUACGGGAGGAAAAGAAACCAACAAGGAUUUUCUUAGUAGCGGCGAGCGAAAAGAAC